Molecule: ribosomal RNA, 253 nt
Filed under: uncultured bacterium
Lineage: Bacteria
Description: partial 16S ribosomal RNA
Rfam family: Bacterial small subunit ribosomal RNA
Source: RNAcentral
UACAGAGGGUGCGAGCGUUGUCCGGAAUCACUGGGCGUAAAGGGCGCGUAGGCGGCCCGAUAAGUAGGGGGUGAAAUCCUGUGGCUUAACUGCAGGGCUGCCUCCUAGACUGUCAGGCUUGAGCACGGUAGAGGCAGAUGGAAUUCCCGGUGUAGCGGUGGAAUGCGUAGAGAUCGGGAAGAACAUCGGUGGCGAAGGCGGUCUGCUGGGCCGUUGCUGACGCUGAGGCGCGACAGCGUGGGGAGCAAACAGG